RNAcentral lists this ribosomal RNA (468 nucleotides) under uncultured bacterium. Its description in RNAcentral is "partial 16S ribosomal RNA". It matches the Rfam family "Bacterial small subunit ribosomal RNA", at positions 28 to 507 of the family's 1533-position model. The record is from RNAcentral.
GACGAACGCUGGCGGCGUGCUUAACACAUGCAAGUCGAACGGAAAGGCCCUGCUUUUGUGGGAUGCUCGAGUGGCGAACGGGUGAGUAACACGUGAGUAACCUGCCCUUGACUUUGGGAUAACUUCAGGAAACUGGGGCUAAUACCGGAUAGGAGCUCCUGCUGCAUGGUGGGGGUUGGAACGUUUCGGCGGGUGGGGAUGGACUCGCGGCUUAUCAGCUUGUUGGUGGGGUAGUGGCUUACCAAGGCUUUGACGGGUAGCCGGCCUGAGAGGGUGACCGGCCACAUUGGGACUGAGAUACGGCCCAGACUCCUACGGUAGGCAGCAGUGGGGAAUAUUGCACAAUGGGCGGAAGCCUAAUGCAGCAACGCCGCGUUCGUGAUGUCGGCCUUCGGGUUGUAAACCGCUUUCGCCUGUGACGAAGCGUGAGUGACGGUAAUGGGUAAAGAAGCACCGGCUAACUACGUG